RNAcentral lists this ribosomal RNA (861 nucleotides) under Salmonella enterica subsp. enterica serovar Alachua. RNAcentral's name for it is "partial 23S ribosomal RNA". It matches the Rfam family "Bacterial large subunit ribosomal RNA", at positions 626 to 1405 of the family's 2925-position model. The record is from RNAcentral. Lineage: Bacteria; Pseudomonadati; Pseudomonadota; Gammaproteobacteria; Enterobacterales; Enterobacteriaceae.
ACUUAUAUUCUGUAGCAAGGUUAACCGAAUAGGGGAGCCGGAGGGAAACCGAGUCUUAAUUGGGCGUUAAGUUGCAGGGUAUAGACCCGAAACCCGGUGAUCUAGCCAUGGGCAGGUUGAAGGUUGGGUAACACUAACUGGAGGACCGAACCGACUAAUGUUGAAAAAUUAGCGGAUGACCUGUGGCUGGGGGUGAAAGGCCAAUCAAACCGGGAGAUAGCUGGUUCUCCCCGAAAGCUAUUUAGGUAGCGCCUCGUGAACUCAUCUCCGGGGGUAGAGCACUGUUUCGGCUAGGGGGCCAUCCCGGCUUACCAACCCGAUGCAAACUGCGAAUACCGGAGAAUGUUAUCACGGGAGACACACGGCGGGUGCUAACGUCCGUCGUGAAGAGGGAAACAACCCAGACCGCCAGCUAAGGUCCCAAAGUCAUGGUUAAGUGGGAAACGAUGUGGGAAGGCCCAGACAGCCAGGAUGUUGGCUUAGAAGCAGCCAUCAUUUAAAGAAAGCGUAAUAGCUCACUGGUCGAGUCGGCCUGCGCGGAAGAUGUAACGGGGCUAAACCAUGCACCGAAGCUGCGGCAGCGAACGUAUCACUUAAAGCGAUUCAGCGGGUUACGAUUGACGGAGCGAAGCGACGUCAAAGCGUAUACAAAGUCGAGUCGGUUUAAGGAUACGUUCGUUGGGUAGGGGAGCGUUCUGUAAGCCUGUGAAGGUGGCCUGUGAGGGUUGCUGGAGGUAUCAGAAGUGCGAAUGCUGACAUAAGUAACGAUAAAGCGGGUGAAAAGCCCGCUCGCCGGAAGACCAAGGGUUCCUGUCCAACGUUAAUCGGGGCAGGGUGAGUCGACCCCUAAGGCGAGGCCGA